GGGGGUUGCUAUUUCCUUCUCCAGGGGAUCUUCCUGACCCAGGGAUUGAAUCUGCAUCUCCUGCAUUAGCAGGCGGAUUCUUCACCACUGAGCCAUCAAGGAAGCCUCUUACAAGGAAAGAACACAGCACAAACAGAGGUAUAGAGGUGUAACAGAAUUUGGAGCUAGAAGCAGCAGCAUCACCUGUCCCUCAUGGCUGUUCCCAGGAUCUUCUGGUGAGGGUGGAGCUUCCCUGGUGGCUCAGCAGUAAGUAAUCCGCCUGCAAAGCGGGAGACCUGGGUUGGAUCCCUGGGUUGGGAAGAUUCCCUGGAGGAGGAAAUGGCAACCCACUCAGUAUUCU
RNAcentral lists this long non-coding RNA (340 nucleotides) under Capra hircus (goat). RNAcentral's name for it is "lncRNA (ENSCHIG00000007922.1)". Lineage: Eukaryota; Metazoa; Chordata; Mammalia; Artiodactyla; Bovidae. The record is from RNAcentral.